Molecule: ribosomal RNA, 831 nt
Filed under: uncultured bacterium
Lineage: Bacteria
Description: bacterial SSU rRNA
Rfam family: Bacterial small subunit ribosomal RNA
Source: RNAcentral
UUUUAGGCAUGCAAGUCGAGCGGCAAGGGUAAUUCGGUACCCCUAGAGCGGCGGACGGGUGAGUAACACGUGGAUAACCUGCCCCCGGGGUGCGGGAUACCCCAGGGAAACCUGGAUUAAUACCUCGUAAGACCACGCUCUGCAGGGAGAGUGGGAAAAGGCGCUUCGGCGUCGCCUGGGGAUGGGUCCGCGUCCCAUUAGCUAGAUGGUAGGGUAAGAGCCUACCAUGGCGACGAUGGGUAGCCGGCCUGAGAGGGUGAACGGCCACACUGGAACUGAGACACGGUCCAGACUCCUACGGGAGGCAGCAGCUAAGAAUCUUCCGCAAUGGGCGCAAGCCUGACGGAGCGACGCCGCGUGGGCGAGGAAGGCCGCAAGGUUGUAAAGUCCUUUUCGGGAAGGGGAAUAAGAGUGAUAGGCAAUGAUCACUUGACGACAUGAAUCCCGGAAUAAGCCCCGGCUAACUACGUGCCAGCAGCCGCGGUAACACGUAGGGGGCGAGCGUUGUUCGGAAUCAUUGGGCGUAAAGGGCGCGCAGGCGGCGUGUAAAGUCUGGCGUGGAAGUCCCCGGCUCAACUGGGGGAUUGCGUUGGAAACUGGCACGCUUGAGUACGACAGGGGAUGGCGGAAUUCCAGGUGUAGGGGUGAAAUCUGUAGAUAUCUGGAGGAACACCAACGGCGAAGGCAGCCAUCUGGAUCAGUACUGACGCUGAGGCGCGAAGGUGCGGGGAGCAAACAGGUUUAGAUACCCUGGUAGUCCGCACAGUAAACGAUGUGCACUAGGUGUCGGGCAGUCAAUGUUCGGUACCGCAGCAAACGCGUUAAGUGCAC